This 429-nucleotide ribosomal RNA is filed under the name Bacteroidota bacterium. RNAcentral describes it as "Bacteroidetes bacterium partial 16S ribosomal RNA". It matches the Rfam family "Bacterial small subunit ribosomal RNA", at positions 355 to 776 of the family's 1533-position model. The record is from RNAcentral. Lineage: Bacteria; Pseudomonadati; Bacteroidota.
UAGGGAAUCUUCGGCAAUGGGGGGAACCCUGACCGAGCAACGCCGCGUGAGUGAAGAAGGUUUUCGGAUCGUAAAGCUCUGUUGUUAAGGAAGAACGAGUGUGAGAAUGGAAAGUUCAUACUGUGACGGUACUUAACCAGAAAGGGACGGCUAACUACGUGCCAGCAGCCGCGGUAAUACGUAGGUCCCGAGCGUUGUCCGGAUUUAUUGGGCGUAAAGCGAGCGCAGGCGGUUAGAUAAGUCUGAAGUUAAAGGCAGUGGCUCAACCAUUGUAGGCUUUGGAAACUGUUUAGCUUGAGUGCAGAAGGGGAGAGUGGAAUUCCAUGUGUAGCGGUGAGAUGCGUAGAUAUAUGGAGGAACACCGGUGGCGAAAGCGGCUCUCUGGUCUGUAACUGACGCUGAGGCUCGAAAGCGUGGGGAGCGAACAGG